RNAcentral lists this long non-coding RNA (1258 nucleotides) under Sus scrofa (pig). Its description in RNAcentral is "lncRNA (ENSSSCG00000055177.1, ENSSSCG00130010621.1, ENSSSCG00160005108.1)". The record is from RNAcentral. Lineage: Eukaryota; Metazoa; Chordata; Mammalia; Artiodactyla; Suidae.
AUUCUUUUCCCAUAUAGGUUAUCACAGAAUACUGGAUAGAGUUCCCUGGGCUGUACCGCAGGUCCCUGUUAACCAUCCAUUCCACACGCAAUAGUGUGCACAUGCCAAUACCAACCCUCCCUGCCGCCAUCCAUCCCCCUCCACCUGCCCCCUUUAGUAACCAUAAGUUUGUUUUGGAAGGUUUUGAGUCUGAUUCUGUUUUGUUAACAAGGUUCUUUGUACCUUCUUUAUUAGAUUCCACGUACAAGUGAUAUCAUAUGAUAAUUAUCUUUCUCUGCCUGACUUACUUCACUUAAUAUGAUAAUCUCUAGGUUCAUCCAUGUUGCUGCCAAUGGCAUGAUUUCAUUGUUUUUGUGGCUCUGUUCCUCUGUUGAUGGACAUUUAAGUUGCUUCCAUGUCUAGGCUGUUGUAAAUAGUGCUGCAAUGAACACUGAGGUACAUGUAUCUCUUUGAAUUAUGUUUUUCUCUGGAUAUAUGCCUGGAGUGGGAUUGCUAGAUCAUAUGCUAGUUCUAUUUUUAAUUUUUUAAGGAACCUCCAUACUGUUUUCAACAAUGGCUUCACCAAUUUACAUUCCCACCAACAAUGUAGGAGGGUUCCCUUUUCUCCAAACCAUCAGAGGAAUUUUGUGACUGUCUGCUUUUUUAAAAUUUUGUUUUAAUUGAAGUAGAGUUAAUUUACAAUGGUGUAUUUGUGUACAGUAAAGUGAAAGUUGUUACAGGUUAUACAUGAUGGUUAUUACAAAAUGUUGAAUAUCAUUUCUUGUGCUAUACAGUAGGUCCUUGUUGGUUAUUUUAUAUAUAGUAGUGUGUAUAUGUUAAUCCCAAACUCCUAAUUUUAUCUAUCUUCCCCUCCUCCCUAUAUCCCCUUUGGUAAACAUGAGUUUGUUUUCUAUGUUUGUGAGUCUAUUUCUGUUUUGUAAAUAAGCUCAUUUUAUCAUUUAAUAGAUUCCACAUUUAAGUGAUAGCACAUGGUACUGUCUGCUUCUGUCAGACUUCACUUGAUAGAUAAUCUCUAGGUCUAUCCAUGUUGCUGCAAAUGGCAUCAUUUCAUUCUUUUUUAUGGCUGAGUACUAUUCCACUGUGUAUAUACGUGCCACAUCUUCUUUACCCAUUCAUCUGUUGAUGGGCACUUAGGUUGCUUCCAUGGGCAUAGUCUUGAUUUGUUCUAGGUGGAGGAAAACUGUUUAUGUGUUGGUUCCCCAUGCUAAAGUGUGCCACCAAACACAUUUCCUGGAACCUCUCAAUAAAUGUUUGUUAA